Molecule: ribosomal RNA, 765 nt
Filed under: uncultured Candidatus Poseidoniales archaeon
Lineage: Archaea; Methanobacteriati; Thermoplasmatota; Candidatus Poseidoniia; Candidatus Poseidoniales
Description: bacterial SSU rRNA
Rfam family: Archaeal small subunit ribosomal RNA
Source: RNAcentral
UUCCGGUUGAUCCUGCCGGAGGCUACCGCUAUUGGAGUUCGAUUAAGCCAUGCGAGUCGCGAGUCUUAGGGACUCGGCGUACCGCUCAGUAACACGUGGGUAACCUGCCCUAUGCUGGGGGAUAACCUCGGGAAACUGAGAAUAAUACCCCAUAGUUCACCACGCCUGGAACGGUGGGUGGAUGAAAGCUCCGGCGGCAUAGGAUGGGCCUGCGGCGUAUCAGGUUGUAGGGGGUGUAAUGUACCCUCUAGCCAUCUACGCGUACGGGUGUUGAGAGACAUCGCCCGGAGAUGGAUUCUGAGACACGAAUCCAGACCCUACGGGGUGCAGCAGGCGCGAAAACUUGGCAAUGCGAGCAAUCGUGACCAGGGAACUCCAAGUGCAUCGGGUAAGACCGAUGCUUUUCUUGACUCUUCAAAGGUCUUGGAAUAAGGGGUGGGUAAGGACGGUGCCAGCCGCCGCGGUAAUACCGGCGCCUCAAGUGGUAGUCGCUUUUAUUGGGCCUAAAACGUCCGUAGCCGGUUUGGUACAUUCGUGGGUAAAUCAAGGCGCUCAACGUCUUGAAUUCUGCGAGCACGGCCAGACUUGGGACCGGGUGAGGUGUGGGGUACUCUCAGGGUAGGGGUAAAAUCCUGUCAUCCUGAGAGGACCACCUGUUGCGAAGGCGCCACACUAGAACGGAUCCGACGGUCAGGGACGAAGCCUAGGGGCACGAACCGGAUUAGAUACCCGGGUAGUCCUAGGUGUAAACGCUGUGGACUUGAU